Molecule: long non-coding RNA, 832 nt
Organism: Sander lucioperca (pikeperch)
Lineage: Eukaryota; Metazoa; Chordata; Actinopteri; Perciformes; Percidae
Exons: 3
Source: RefSeq, a predicted model, not a curated record
CACAGAGAUAUUCAAGCUGUUAUAGCAUGAUGCCCUGUGUGAUGGCCACAGCCGUGGCCACACAGCCAUCUUAAAGGCGGUAACUUCAUACACUAACAUUUAUCUUAGUUCAUGCUGUUUUCCUUAAGAUUGGUUUCUAUAUAUUUUCAGACACAUUAUAUAAUUUGUUGUAAACAGUUAUUUAGUUUAAAUAAUGUACAAGACACUGGAUUUGGUUUACAUAUAUACUUUAUUAGUUUUGGAUUGUCUUUUUGCUAUAACGGUUUUCUUUUGAGCUUACCAGUGUUGCGGAUUCCACACCCUGGAGUGAGGCAUGCAGGCUGCUGGGACAAAGGGGUGGCGUCUGGAACAACAGCAGCUUUAAAGGGGUGGUGGCCAAAUUGGACUCUACCACUACUUAUGUCUGGGGGGGGUGUAGCUUUAUUUUUUCCCAAGAUAUUUGAGUUUUGAUUUGUGUUGUAUCUAGUACAUUUAUUCGGUUAAUGUUAAUUAAGAUUACAUUUCUUUUGGAAUAAGUGUUUAGUUGUUUUUUUUGUUAUUUGUAGUUUAUGUAUUAGUGUUAUUGUUAGUCUUCCCCUGGGUGUCAAACCUGGUUUGAUCAGCCAGUAUAUAAGUCCCUUUUGUUUCUCUUAUAGGAGGUCAGUUGUAUUUUUGAGUUUGUUAUGUUCAGAGCUUAAGUUCGGUUUGUUUGACCUCUUUUAAGGGCCCAAACUUUAUCUUUAUUUUGUUGUAAUGAUUUUGUGGGUAAAAUAAAAAAAACCUUUUUUGAAAUCCUCUUGUGACUCCUCUUGCCUAACUGCUGGGUCCCUGACAUAUGGUGGCAGUGGUGGGA